UUUGUCCUUGUUAGCUUGGCGUGCUGGUUGAUAGCAUUGCCAAAGCAUAGACGAGUUUAAUACCAGGUUCUUUGUCCUUGUUAGCUUGGCGUGCUGGUUGAUAGCAUUGCCAAAGCAUAGACGAGUUUAAUACCAGGUCCUUUGUCCUUGUUAGCUUGGCGUGCUGGUUGAUAGCAUUGCCAAAGCAUAGACGAGUUUAAUACCAGGUCCUUUGUCCUUGUUAGCUUAGCGUGCUGGUUGAUAGCAUUGCCAAAGCAUAGACGAGUUUAAUACCAGGUCCUUUGUCCUUGUUAGCUUAGCGUGCUGGUUGAUAGCAUUGCCAAAGCAUAGACGAGUUUAAUACCAGGUCCUUUGUCCUUGUUAGCUUGGCGUGCUGGUUGAUAGCAUUGCCAAAGCAUAGACGAGUUUAAUACCAGGUCCUUUGUCCUUGUUAGCUUAGCGUGCUGGUUGAUAGCAUUGCCAAAGCAUAGACGAGUUUAAUACC
Molecule: long non-coding RNA, 484 nt
Organism: Brienomyrus brachyistius
Lineage: Eukaryota; Metazoa; Chordata; Actinopteri; Osteoglossiformes; Mormyridae
Exons: 4
Source: RefSeq, a predicted model, not a curated record